GACGAACGCUGGCGGCGUGCUUAACACAUGCAAGUCGAACGGAAAGGCCCUGCUUUUGUGGGGUGCUCGAGUGGCGAACGGGUGAGUAACACGUGAGUAACCUGCCCUUGACUUUGGGAUAACUUCAGGAAACUGGGGCUAAUACCGGAUAGGAGCUCCUGCUGCAUGGUGGGGGUUGGAAAGUUUCGGCGGUUGGGGAUGGACUCGCGGCUUAUCAGCUUGUUGGUGGGGUAGUGGCUUACCAAGGCUUUGACGGGUAGCCGGCCUGAGAGGGUGACCGGCCACCUUGGGACUGAGAUACGGCCCAGACUCCUACGGGAGGCAGCAGUGGGGAAUAUUGCACAAUGGGAGGAAGCCUGAUGCAGCAACGCCGCGUGCGGGAUGAAGGCCUUCGGGUUGUAAACCGCUUUCGCCUGUGACGAAGCGUGAGUGACGGUAAUGGGUAAAGAAGCAACGGCUAACUACGUG
This 468-nucleotide ribosomal RNA is filed under the name uncultured bacterium. RNAcentral describes it as "partial 16S ribosomal RNA". It matches the Rfam family "Bacterial small subunit ribosomal RNA", at positions 28 to 507 of the family's 1533-position model. The record is from RNAcentral.